This 399-nucleotide long non-coding RNA is filed under the name Panax ginseng (ginseng). RNAcentral describes it as "long non-coding RNA (PGIN_LNC013200)". Lineage: Eukaryota; Viridiplantae; Streptophyta; Magnoliopsida; Apiales; Araliaceae. The record is from RNAcentral.
CAACUUUAUUAAUACAUUUGUCGUGCAAAAUACGACAACAUAUAUACUGUGAGUUUAAAAAAACAAUUAUUGUCUUCUAGACAAUAUACAUACUCAAAUAAAUCCUCAUCACAAUUAUUUAUACAUUAUUUUACAAAAAUGGUGAGGACUACUAAACAACUCUCUCUAGAACCUUCAUUCCAUACCCCGACUAGUACUCGCUACAUUCUCGCCUCCUGAGAAGAAAAAUGGAACAAAAAGGAAAAGGGUGAGCUCAACUAGCCCAGUAAAGAAUAUUAUGACUAAGAUAAUAUACAACAAAUUAUCGUUAGUCUUCAACAGGGAAAAAUCUAAUAGAAUACAAUAGACAACAAGUUUUAAAUCAAUAUUCGCAGCGGAAAUAAUAAUUCAUUAGAAGAG